RNAcentral lists this ribosomal RNA (450 nucleotides) under uncultured bacterium. RNAcentral describes it as "partial 16S ribosomal RNA". It matches the Rfam family "Bacterial small subunit ribosomal RNA", at positions 354 to 796 of the family's 1533-position model. The record is from RNAcentral.
GUGGGGAAUCUUCCGCAAUGGACGAAAGUCUGACGGAGCAACGCCGCGUGAGUGAAGAAGGUUUUCGGAUCGUAAAGCUCUUUCGUUAGGGACGAACGUGCUCUUUGUGAAUAAUGAGGAGUAAUGACGGUACCUAAAUAAGAAGCCACGGCUAACUACGUGCCAGCAGCCGCGGUAAUACGUAGGUGGCAAGCGUUAUCCGGAAUUAUUGGGCGUAAAGCGCGCGCAGGCGGGAUAUCAAGUCUGUCUUAAAAGUGCGAGGCUCAACCUCGUGAGGGGACAGAAACUGGUAUUCUUGAGUGUCGGAGAGGAAAGUGGAAUUCCAAGUGUAGCGGUGAAAUGCGUAGAGAUUUGGAAGAACACCAGUGGCGAAGGCGACUUUCUGGACGAUGUCUGACGCUGAGGCGCGAAAGCUAGGGGAGCGAACGGGAUUAGAUACCCGUGUAGUCC